Molecule: ribosomal RNA, 907 nt
Filed under: Hymenochaete nanospora
Lineage: Eukaryota; Fungi; Basidiomycota; Agaricomycetes; Hymenochaetales; Hymenochaetaceae
Description: LSU rRNA
Rfam family: Eukaryotic large subunit ribosomal RNA
Source: RNAcentral
AGUAACUGCGAGUGAACCGGGAAGAGCUCAAAUUUAAAAUCUGGCGGUUUUGCCGUCCGAGUUGUAAUCUGGAGAAGCGUUUUCCGCGUCGGACCGUGUACAAGUCUCUUGGAAUAGAGCGUCAUAGAGGGUGAGAAUCCCGUCCAUGACACGGACUCCCGAUGCUAUGUGAUACGCUCUCAAAGAGUCGAGUUGUUUGGGAAUGCAGCUCAAAAUGGGUGGUAAAUUCCAUCUAAAGCUAAAUAUUGGCGAGAGACCGAUAGCGAACAAGUACCGUGAGGGAAAGAUGAAAAGCACUUUGGAAAGAGAGUUAAACAGUACGUGAAAUUGUUGAAAGGGAAACGCUUGAAGUCAGUCGCGUCGUACGGAGCUCAGCCUUGCUUCUGCUUGGUGUAUUCUCCGUGUCGACGGGUCAACGUCAAUUUUGAUCGGUGGAGAAGGGCCUGAGGAACGUGGCGUCGUUUCGGCGACGUGUUAUAGCCUUAGGUCGUAUGCAUCGAUUGGGAUUGAGGACCGCAGCACGCCCUUGUGGCCGGGGGUUCGCCCUACGUUCGUGCUUAGGAUGUUGGCAAAAUGGCUUUAAGCGACCCGUCUUGAAACACGGACCAAGGAGUCUAACAUGCCUGCGAGUGUUCGGGUGGAAAACCCUUGCGCGUAAUGAAAGUGAAAGUUGGGAUCCCUCGCAAGGGGGUGCACCGACGCCCGGCCCUGACGUUCUCUGACGGUGCUGCGGUAGAGCAUGUAUGUUGGGACCCGAAAGAUGGUGAACUAUGCCUGAAUAGGGUGAAGCCAGAGGAAACUCUGGUGGAGGCUCGUAGCGAUUCUGACGUGCAAAUCGAUCGUCAAAUUUGGGUAUAGGGGCGAAAGACUAAUCCAACCAUCUAGUAGCUGGUUCCUGCCGAAGUUU